CGUAGAUAAGCCCGUUGAAGAUUUGCACCUUUCAAAUUGGCAUUAUUCAGCUUUGCACCCUUUAGAUUGGCCCCUUCUAGAUUAGCUCCUUCCAGGUUGGCAUUGGUAAGAUCAGCAGUCUGUAAAUGUGCAGAGCGCAGAUCUGCUCCACAGAAGCUGCAAUCCACCAGACAAGCAUCUUGUAGAUUUGCACUCUGAAGAUUGGCACCAGCUAAUAAAGCUCCACGAAGAUU
This 233-nucleotide unclassified non-coding RNA is filed under the name Hevea brasiliensis (rubber tree). Lineage: Eukaryota; Viridiplantae; Streptophyta; Magnoliopsida; Malpighiales; Euphorbiaceae. The record is from RNAcentral.